This 253-nucleotide ribosomal RNA is filed under the name uncultured bacterium. RNAcentral describes it as "partial 16S ribosomal RNA". It matches the Rfam family "Bacterial small subunit ribosomal RNA", at positions 524 to 776 of the family's 1533-position model. The record is from RNAcentral.
UACGUAGGGGGCGAGCGUUGUCCGGAUUUAUUGGGCGUAAAGAGCGUGUAGGCGGCCAGGUAGGUCUGCUGUGAAAACUCGAGGCUCAACCUCGAGACGUCGGCGGAAACCAUCUGGCUAGAGUCCGGAAGAGGAGAGUGGAAUUCCUGGUGUAGCGGUGAAAUGCGCAGAUAUCAGGAAGAACACCCGUGGCGAAGGCGGCUCUCUGGGACGUUACUGACGCUGAGACGCGAAAGCGUGGGGAGCAAACAGG